GACGAACGCUGGCGGCGUGCUUAACACAUGCAAGUCGAACGGACAGGCCCUGCUUUCGGGGUUCUCGCGUGGCGAACGGGUGGGUAACACAUGGGUGGUCUGCCCUCCACUUCGGGUUAAGCCUGUGCAACUGGGUCUAAUACCGACUAGGUGCCAUUUUUAGUGUGAUGGUUGGAUAGUUUUGUCGGUGUUUGCUGAGCUCGCGGCCUAUCAGCUUGUUGGGGUGGUAAUGGCCUACCAAAGCGGCGUCGGGUAGCCGGCCUGAGAGGGUGAACGGCCACAUUGGGACUGAGAGAAGGCCCAGAUAGCGACGGGAGGGAGAAGGGGGGAAUAUUGAACAAGGGGCGCAAGCCGGAUGCAGAGACGCCGCGGGGGGGAUGACGGUGUUAGGGGUGAAGACUCAUUGCGCAAGGGACGAAGCUUUUUGUGACGGUACCUAGAUAAGAAGCAACGGCUAACUACGUG
Molecule: ribosomal RNA, 465 nt
Filed under: uncultured bacterium
Lineage: Bacteria
Description: partial 16S ribosomal RNA
Rfam family: Bacterial small subunit ribosomal RNA
Source: RNAcentral